AUACGGAGGGUGCGAGCGUUAAUCGGAAUUACUGGGCGUAAAGCGUACGUAGGCGGUUCGUUAAGUUAGAUGUGAAAGCCCCGGGCUUAACCUGGGAACUGCAUUUAAAACUGGCGAACUAGAGUUGGGUAGAGGGGAGUGGAAUUUCAGGUGUAGCGGUGAAAUGCGUAGAGAUCUGAAGGAACACCAGUGGCGAAGGCGACUCCCUGGACUCAAACUGACGCUGAGGUACGAAAGCGUGGGUAGCAAACGGGAUUAGAUACCCUUGUAGUCC
Molecule: ribosomal RNA, 274 nt
Filed under: uncultured bacterium
Lineage: Bacteria
Description: partial 16S ribosomal RNA
Rfam family: Bacterial small subunit ribosomal RNA
Source: RNAcentral